GCCUUCCGCCGGCCGCCGCCUCCGAGCGCCGCCGGUUGCCUCCUCCCACCCUCCCACCUCACUCCUCCUCCGGUUAUCCCUCCUCCUCUUCCGCCCUCGCGCAUCGCUCGUCCUCCGGUUGCUCCCCGGGAGGGCCUGCUCCUACCCCUGGCGGUCUCUGGCCUGAGUGCGUGCGUCCCAGCUGCCGCUGCCGGAGGAGGCGUUGACGGCGGCGACGGCGAUGUGCGCCCGGUGGCGUUUUGCGAGGACGCCGUCUCCCCGUGCACGUACUUCUUCGCCUUCUCCGAUGGCCACGCCACGGAAAGCCUCCACUCAAGAAAUGUUGACAUGGGAAGCAGUAAUACUGGAACGUCACUUUUGGAGCUGAUAUUGUUGUGGGGAAACAGGUUAGCAAUCAUUUUCUUGGAAGUCGGAAGUAGUAUUCAUGUCAACUAAAUUGCGUCAAGUAUUGAGCAAUGCUACAUGAUGAACAUCAAGUCUUCUGAGGAUUGUUCAGAGCUUGAGACAACAUAACAACUGAAACUGAAAAGGCAUUGCUCCAGUGAGUUUCAGACAAAGCAGAGCAACUGAAACUGACUGCUUCAGUAUCCUCUGAGAUAUGAAUCCCUGAUUGUGUGUAGCUUGUCGGCCGCCUCCUGCAUGCUGAUGCGCUUGCUUGGGGCUGAAUCGGUGCAGCAGAGUCCAAUGUUCAACACAGAAAGAACACAUUGUGCUCCAUUUUCAUCGUUAAUGACUGAAUCUUCUUUGCAGAGGCUCAACUCUUGUACUAGCUGAGGAUCAACAAUCUGCAGCAUCUUAUCAGGGAUGUUCAUCUCUGUGAACUUUGCAAUGCUCAAUCCAUCCUUGAACAUGUCGUCUGUGGGCCUCCUCCUUAUGAAUAUCUCGAGGAGAACAACUCCGAAGCUGUAUACAUCUGCAGCAGUUGAAAUUUGUCCACCUCCGGCACAUUCUACAGAUUGCAUGUAGGAAGAGUUUAUUUCAAAUGCUCCAAUAAAUAGACAAAUGAUGAAACCAUUAUAUUAAUCACUUAAUAAGAAAACACAGUGUGAAGUGGACCACAUGUACCUGGAGCAACAUAUCCUACGGUUCCAUUUAUCGCAAAUGAAGAGGUCAAAUGUGAGUUACCAAACGAUUGUCUGGAAUCAUUUUUGAACCUUGCAAGCCCAAAGUCUCCGACAUGAGCUGUCAUAUUAUCAUCCAAAAGAAUAUUGGUGGGCUUGAUAUCACAAUGGAUAAUUGUCCCUUGAUGGUUGUGGUGUAGGUAAGCCAAUGCAUCAGAAACAUUGACCACAAUGCUUAACCUUUGAGCUAGUGAAAUAUAGCACAGAUCUGAAGAUGUUUCGUCGUGUGGAGUUGAGUACAACAAUUUAUGCAAGUCUCCUCGUGGCAUGAAUUCAUAUACCAGUGCUUUGAAGUCAUUUCCACUUGAAUCAAUGCUUGAGCACGCCGUCAAGACAGGAACCAGAUUGCGAUGCCGCACAUUUCUCAAAGCAUUACACUCUGCAAUGAAGCUCUUUUGUGCUCCCUUUGUCUCUAGACUGAAGACUUUGAUAGCAACUACAUUUAUGUCUUGAAAUAACUGUCCUUGGUAUACAGAACCAUAUCUUCCUUCGCCAAUCAAAUUGGAUGUUGAGAACCCAUUAGUUGCUCUGGCAAGAUCUUUAUAAGAAACUUUGGGAAAUUCUCUACCAAAUGAGGGCAAAGAUAUCGAGUUUGUCCUUUGUUUUCCCUUCCAAAUCAAAUACAGGACCAAUAUCACUACGGCAAGUGUCACCAUGCUAGCUAAUGGGAUCACUACUUUCAGUAGUACUGGUAGCUUGCCUUUAGUUGUAUUUGAAGGUGUGAUAGGACAUUCAGGUAAGUGUAACUCCAGUGCACCUCCACAAAGAGCCAAAUUUCCAUCAAUUUGCAUGGAAGUUGAAUUCUUGAAGAUUCCUUUAGUUGGGACCUGACCUGUAAGAUGGUUGAAUGACAAAUCUAUCUGUUCAAGGAGUUGAAGGUCACCAAGUGACACUGGUAUUGAUCCACUUAACUUAUUGUGUGACAGGUUGAGAAAUUUUAGGCUAAUUAAUUUGCCGAACGAGGUGGGAAUACCUCCACUAAAAUUAUUUUGGUCAAGCUCAACAUGUUGCAAAUUUUCACAGUUACUCAAAGUAUUAGGUAUAUCUCCUGACAGAUUAUUGGAUGAAAGCUGCAAAUAUAUGAGCUGCUUGGCAUUCCCUAUUUCUGUAGGAAGUUCUCCACUGAGAUUGUUUAAUGCAAACCCAACUUCCGCUAUUGUUGGAAUCCUGAAGAUCUCCUUUGGCACACCACCAUGAAGAUUGUUAUCAGUAAUGGUGAUUGUUGUUAGGAACUGAAGGUUUCCAAAGCUUAAGGUAUGUUUCCAAUGAACUGAUUUGUGUCUAGAAGAAUCUCUGUCAAGUGUGACAGAUUGGAAAGGGAGGAGGGAAGAUACCCUGUAAAACUGUUGGUAGACAAGCUUAGUUUCUGCAAUGUCUUCAGACCUCCUAGCCAUUGUGGUACAGAACCUGAAAAUCGGUUGUAAUCUAGUCCAAGAAUUAUCAGGUUGGGAAGAUUUGCAAUGCCUGAAGGAAAACUCCCUGACAAUUGAUUCUGUCCCAAGAAAAGAUACUGUAGCUGAACUGAAAAAUUGCCUAAUGAACCUGGUACCUCUCCUUCCAUUUGAUUCCUCGCUAUAGAGAUUCCUUGUAGCUGAGUACAAUUGGCUACGCUAUCCAUGAACUCCCAGUCUUGCUUGCUACGAGCAUGGAGCUGGUUCAUCUCAAGAUUUAACCUUGUAAGAUUGGCAAGCUUGCCAAUGGAGGCAGGUACAACCCCAGUAAAGUUAUUUUCAGAUAUAUCAAUCUUGACCAGAUUGGAAGCAUUCGCCAACGAAGAAGGGAUGUCUCCAUGAAAGAAGUUGAUGCCAAUGGCAAUCUGCCUAAGAUUGGGCAGCAAGCUACCGAUGCCCGAUGGCAGCUCACCACUGAAGCUGUUCGUGCUGAGGCUAAGCGCAACCAGCACCGACAUGUUCAGGAUCGCCUCUGGAAACCCACCUAACAGCCGGUUGCUGCUGGCGUAGAGGAUCUCCACCCCACUUAGCGUCGCUAGCUCACCGGGGAUGCUGCCGGUGAUGCCAUUGAACGCGAAGCUGAGCUUCCUCAGCGCCGUGAUGUUGCUGAGCGAGGGAGGGAUUGUCCCGACAAGUCUGUUCGACGAGAGCUGUAAUUCCUGAAGGCCAAGAGGCAGGCCGCCAGGGAAUCCUCCGGCGAGAUCAUUGUGAUCCAGCCAUAGCACCGUGAGCUCAGAGCAGUUGGCGAAGCUCGGUAUGAUCCCCUGCAGCGUGUUGUUGCUCAGGUAGAGUGACCGGAGACGACGCAGGUGGCCGAGAGAUUCAGGAAUCUGUCCGGUGAACCCAUUCGUCGCUAGUGACAGAUUCCUCAGGAAUGUCAGGUUGCCAAGUGAAGGAGAGAUGUGGCCAACCAGGCCUUGAUUCCUAAGAUCAAUGGCGGUGACGCGAGGUGGGUUCUUGGAGCUGCAUGAGAUGCCUUCCCAGCUGCAGAAGUGGGUGCUGUCAUUCCAGGAGAUGAGAGAUUGAUGUGGAUUGAGAGUGAUCGAGUUCUUGAAUUCAAGCAGUGACAGUCGAUCCGUUUCGUUUCUGAGAGUUGAACAGAUGACUGAAUGGGAGAUGGAGGCCAAGAACACCCAGAGGAAAUGUGCAGUUGCAGUGGUAACCUUCAUGAUGACCUAGUUUUGUAGAAUUUUGAUGGACCUUGUACAUAGAAACAGAGGAAAAAAAUAUCCAGAUAUUCAGAAAACGUUGUAAAAUGUUCAGACAUGCAAUGAGUGGCAACUAAGGUACCUGGAUUGUUUAGC
This 3876-nucleotide small RNA is filed under the name Oryza sativa Japonica Group (Japanese rice). RNAcentral's name for it is "sRNA Os11g0173600". Lineage: Eukaryota; Viridiplantae; Streptophyta; Magnoliopsida; Poales; Poaceae. The record is from RNAcentral.